UCACACAAAGAUGACAUAUGGUACCUUCUCGGGUUGGACUAUCCACAUACCGUUUGAAGAAAUCCUCUUGGAUACACCUCACUAAUUCUGCCCUAUCUAACCCUUUGGCACUGAGCAA
Amblyraja radiata (thorny skate) is the source of this 118-nucleotide long non-coding RNA. RefSeq lists it as uncharacterized. The record is from RefSeq and is a predicted model, not a curated record. NCBI's taxonomy places the organism in Eukaryota, Metazoa, Chordata, Chondrichthyes, Rajiformes, Rajidae. The transcript has 3 exons.